AUCUCAGCCCAGUUCGGAAGAAAGAAGGCACUCUGGGUUUUUGAGUUGUUAGGCUUCUUAUGCUGAAUCUUUCUCAUUUUUGUGGGAUUAUUUUCAUUCAAUAUUUGAGGUGCUGAUCUUUGGAUGGGUGUUAUUUUCUUUUCUCCUAUUUGAUGCCCUUGAGGAGCUGAUUGUAGUAUAAGUGAAUCAGAGUUCCUGUUGCUCCAGAUUCUCAAGAACAUAUGAUGUCAUCAGUGUUUUAGGUUUUGGUCAUUACAACAGGCAUUAUUGGCAAGUGGAAUGAGAACAAGAAGAGAUCCAAGGCUGAAUUCUGCAGUUUUUGGCUUCAUUCCAACUUGAAUUUAUAUAGAAUAUUUUCAAUCUGUGGUUGGUUGAAUCCACAGAUGCAAAACCCACAGACGUGAGGGCUGAUUCUACGUGCAAACUGGCCACAAAAGUCCUGGCUGUCUUCAAAGCUGCAUCCUAACGAGGGCAGAGUACCUGGUACAAUGAAUCUGAUUGUAAUUUACAAGAAAAUCACCUCUACUGCCUACAAUAUGUUACCUCAUUUGUUUCCCAGUUCCUAAUUUGUACCCUUAGAUUCUUAGACCAUAAAGUAUUUCCUGAAGGAAUAGAGGGCUCCAAGUGGGAUGAUUUGAGUAGUUCAUUUUGGUGGCUUUUGUUAUGGAAAUAUGUGAGGAUGGUUGAACUUUAGUACUGAUUUUUCAUUCACAUGACAAGAAUGCCUACAUAAAUCAUGUUGCUCUCCCAUUUAAGUAAUUACUAGGUUUGAAGCCAGUUAAAACAAAUGAUAGAAGAUAUUUUAGGUUAAACAACAUGGUUUUGCUUUCAUUGACAUCAACCAUAAUAGGCCUAAAAAUAUAAGUGCAGAAAAGCAUGUUAGUAUCUUUUAUUUCUUUCAAGUAUAUUCAUUUAGUUGACUUUUUCAAAUAUAUUUUAGCUUAUUUUGCCUUCUGAUAAGAAUAGGACAAUUGAAGAAAAGGUUUUCUCACUUCCUUAACAUUAUGAAAGAAUUUUAUUUUGGAAUUGCCUGAGAGGUAAAUGGAAAAUAUGCUCAGUUGGCCCAAAUUCUUUAUUAAACAACAUUAUAAGUGAAAAUCUGUUUUCCCUGCUAUUAUCUGAGUGCUAUGCUUAAAGAAACAAAUAAACAUCCUGACAGUUGACAGACAGGAAA
Molecule: long non-coding RNA, 1174 nt
Filed under: Homo sapiens (human)
Lineage: Eukaryota; Metazoa; Chordata; Mammalia; Primates; Hominidae
Description: novel transcript
Source: RNAcentral